GCUGCUGCUGGGCAAGGAGCGAGCCUGGGCUGUCCGUGGGAAGGAACGCUUGGGGUCGGGGGUCUCUGGGGCUCUCACGCGGUCUGGUGUCACCCCGCGGGGUCACAGAGCUGCUUCGUCCCCACGGUUUCCAGCAUUAUUCGUUCCCACGGACGCGUUCUGUGCCGACGUUCAGACAGAUUUUUCAGGUUGUAUUCGAGAUUUCAACGCCCAGCAAACAACAGCCGGGCAGCAGGAUUGGAUCCAGGCGGAGGGAAGGGGGAUGGCCGCAAUGUUAUCCUUUCCCUUCCGUCCCUCAGGAAGGUUUCAAAGAAAGUCGUAUAUUUCCUCCGAAAAUUGUCGGGGGGAAAAAUAAAACCGCUCCCGAUCAGCCAUCCGUUGCUGCAAAGCGAAGCCGUUUAAUUAACACUCCUUUUGUGGCUGUUUGUUUUGGCUGCCGGCUACCUGGGCUGCAGCUCAGAGCAACCAGGAAUGGUUACCGAUAUCCCCCUGGAGCAGAAAAGAGCAGCAGGAAGCCAAAGCAGAAAUGCCGGCCUUUGCUGUUCCGCACCCACCCCUCGUUAUGCUUGGCUGUUUCAGGUCGAUGCCAUCCGAGAUUCAGCCUCAAGGUCCUCGCUUGCUGCCUUCCCCGAGGUCCCUGCAGGCUGCACUUUGGCCAAAUGCAGGAACCCCCUGGUCAGCAGCAGCAGGCAGCAGAUGGCUGCUCUCUGUUGGAGAUGGGUUUGUAUGCAGCUCACUGCCCACUGCAGAGCCUCAACUGGAAAUCACAGAGCAGAGCAGCGCUUUGUGGGACAGACCUCCAUCCAUUGCCAGGCUCCCAUCAACCUGGGUCCCCCCCCGGGGCUUUGGAGAGUGACAGCAGCACCACAGGACACACAGCACUGCUGUGCUCAGCUCAGGGCUCAAUCCGCAUCCCUUCCUCUCCUCAGAAGGACACAACCACAGCCCCCAAAGCGC
This is a long non-coding RNA of Lagopus muta (rock ptarmigan), 957 nucleotides long. RefSeq lists it as uncharacterized. The record is from RefSeq and is a predicted model, not a curated record. The transcript is spliced from 3 exons. NCBI's taxonomy places the organism in Eukaryota, Metazoa, Chordata, Aves, Galliformes, Phasianidae.